UAACUGAGAAUGGAAACAUUACCAACUGCCCUGUAGAAACCGAUGUGAAUUCAGUUGCGGCGAUGGCUGGAUUACAUAGCAGUAAUGGUAUUGCAGCAAUGUACGAAUCUCUACUUAAUCAAAUUAAAAGGAUAAGAAGCAUCAAGAAAUUUCAUGCUUUUAUGGAUUCUGGAUUGGAAGAAGAUGAAUUUACAGAAUGUGUUCAUAAUUUGGCUGAUUGUAAAGAAGCAUAUGAAGAUCACUAUAUUUAACGAAAAACUGUAUCAUAAUGUAUUUGACAUAAUUUUAGUUAUCUGAUACUUAUUAUAAGUUGUGAUAUGCAGUAUUUUAUAUAAUAAAAUUUUGUUAUAAUAAAUUUA
This is a non-coding RNA of Linepithema humile (Argentine ant), 359 nucleotides long. The record is from RefSeq and is a predicted model, not a curated record. Lineage: Eukaryota; Metazoa; Arthropoda; Insecta; Hymenoptera; Formicidae.